UUCUCUUCAUAUGGCCGGCCAAAGCAAGAACAAAGGAAGAAAAGGAAGAACAAAACCCUAGGUGAAAAAAUUCAAGGGAAAAGUGUGAAAAUUCAAGGAAACAAGUGAAAAAAAGGUAAGAUUUUUCAAUUAAGCUUGUGAUCUAUCUUUCUUAAGCAUUUUUUUCUUAUUUUUCAUGGUUGAAUCACAAGAUAUCAUGAAGGAUUGUGUGCUGAUCAAACCCUAGGAGAGAGAAUUUGAUGAUGAUUUAGAUAGAUUUUUAAGAUAUAUGGAUGUUUUUAGUUGUUUAUGGUGUUAAGUGUAAGAAUUAAGCUUGAAAUUCACAUAUUCCUCAUGAGUUCUCAUUGGCCGAAUUCUCCAUGUAGAAUAUUAAUGAUGAUUUUGAUUUUAUUUCAAGUGAUUUGGUUAGGAAUUAGUGAUUUAUGGUGUGAGAAUUAAGCUUGAAAAAUUAUAAUGUUGAUGCACCCACCAUGGCCGAAUUUUCCAAGUGAAAAUGUGAGGAUGAUUUUGCCAUAUUUCAAGUUAUUUAAUUUGUGUUUGAUGAUUUAGAGUAUUGGGAGAAAAAUGGAAUUAUUUGGAGUUAAACUGGACAUAUUGGCCAAUUAAUCGAGUGAUAGAUCGAUAGGCCAAUACCGUUUUAUUUAGGUACACAAUUGAAUUUGUGUAGAACACCAUGUUUGGAUGAUAAUCUGAACAAUUUACAUCCCAUUUCAUGCAUUAGUAUAGAGCCUAAAUUGGUUUUAUAACAAUUUGGCACAAAUGUAGUAAAUGGCUUAUUGUGCAUUAUGUUUAGGUGGUGAGCAUUCUGGCAAAAGUAAAGAGAUAGUACUCGAGGAUCAAGAAUAUCAGUAAUUGGAAUUCGACUCUCGAAAUAGUGAGUAACCUUACUAUCGUCUUAAUUAUCUAAAGUGGUUUUUAUCCGAUUUUGUGAUUUUAUGGAAAAUGAGUUUAAAUGGUAAAUCUUUAUGUUUUAUAAACAAAAUGUGUUUAAAUGAAAUGAUUUUAUAAAAUUGUCUUGAAAUUGAAAAAUGGUUUUGAAAAUGGAGUAAUUGGAGACUAAUUGUUGUGUUAUAAAUCGUGGUUUGAAUUGAAUGGCUUAUGAUAAUAUUUGCAUGAAUGGCUGAAUUGGUAUUUGUGUUGAAAAUGUAUGAAUUAUUAAUUUGCCUUGAGAGGCUAUAAAAUAAAAUAAUUACCAUGUCAUGUUAUCGCAAAUUUUAUUGUAUUGUGGGUUAUAAAUUGGUCGCUGCAGUGGACGGGUUUCGUGGACCAGCCUAUUAGAGGGGCACGGUAACCCUAUUAUAUUCAUACCUCAGUAUGAGAGGCGCUGUUGGAUAACUCCUGAGGUUAACACUUUAGAGUUCACUUCACGCUAAACCACCACAUGAGGGUGAACUCAGCCAACGCCAAGGAACGGCUAUACUUUCAAAAUAAAAAUAUGAUUUAUGCGUACAUAACUUUUUAAUAGCCUUGGCGGUCUCGGUUGGGAUAGCCCUCGGCCAAGGUAUCCCUGAUAACUGAGUAUGAGAAUGAUUUUGGCACGAGCUAAAGUUUUAAGAAAUUCAUAAGCCAUGUUGAUUACUCGAUUUAUAUGAAUUGAUUUUAUUUGGUUGAAAUGAGUUGAAAGGUGAUGAAUUAUAGUAUGUUAAACUAUUUUAUCUGUCUCCAUUUACUCAGCUUUAGAUAUUUUAGAUGGUAUUUGUUUACUCACUGGGAUUAUAUAAUCUCACCACCCUCCUUUCCACCCCUUUCAAGCUUAGGAUAGUCGGUAGAUAGCUCAUUUCGUUGAAGGCUACAGUUGGACUUACAUCAUCAAAAACUGUAAGUUUACCUCUUUUGAUACUUUUGGUCGUUCGUGGGCCUACAUGUCACUGUAAAUUAAAUCUUAUGCUUUGGUUAUCUGUAUUACAGUAUGUAUUAAUUUAUUUAGUUUUUAUGCUACAAAAAAUUAUUUACCGGUAACUCUAUAAAUAUUAUUUUAUAAGAAAAUAGAAUAUUUUAUUAAAUAUUUUUAUUAUAUUCAAGUAGGUAUAGUUUCACUUUAAAUAAAUGUUUUAGAUAACUAAACUUAUUUUUUAUUAUGAAAUAUGUGUUUUCCACUCGCAUACUACAUUUUUAGCUAGUUUCGAGAUUUUUGAAGAAAAAUGACCAAAAUGCCCCUGUGAGAAAAAAAUUAUUAUUCUAUUGUUUUGAUUUGGAAAUAGUUUAUAAUCUCUCAACACAUGAUACUUAACAAACUGUUGCUCAUAGGGGAGGUGCGAAAACUGAUAUUAAAGCCUUGAAAGGUUCCAAUUGGCAUUUCGAGUAAUGAAUGUCUAUCGGGACGUCGCAGCGGUUGUCACGGGCUCGAGGGGAGUACCGGGUCGUGACACAAAUUAUGGGCUUGGUUAUGUUUCCAACUAAAUGCUUUUAGUAUAUAACUAAGUCCAUAUUACCAUCUUGUCUAGAUGUGAUUUGUUUUCCUAUAUUCAUUAUGUAUCUCAUAGUAUAAAACUCCUUUUAAACUAAAAUACAUAAUGCAUGCAUGGCAUUCCUUAAGAGAUGUUGGCACCUUAAUUCUAGAUAACAUGUUUUCAAGCAUACAAAUAAUAUCUAAUAUCAUUCAUAUAAAUACAUAUAAAUAUUUAUAUAUAUAAUAAGCCACAUUAAUGUCCAUCCUAGAAAAAAUAAAAUAAAAUUACAACUUGUAAUUCUCUUCAAUCUUGCUUGCUUCCACUGCUUGUUAGGAUCACAUCCAUUUGACACUCUUUUGAAUUUUAUGACUUUUUAAAAAUCCUCAAUUUUAAUUUUAAUUUUAACCCAAUUUGAGAAAAUAAUUUUAUUUUGUCCAAUUAAUUAAUCUCACUAAUUAAUACCAAAAUAAAAAAUAUUUUUUUUAAUCCAAGGCUAAAAUUAAUUUUCCAAAAAUAAAAAUAAUUUUACAAAAAUUUUUAAGAAUAUAUAAAUAUAUAUUUUAAAUAAUUUUAUUAAAAAAAUUAGAAGAGGGCCCUAUCCUAAUGGGUUGUUGCCCAAGAGCCCAAUAGUGGGCUGUUGCCUUGUGGCAGCAGCACAACAACAUGUGCUGUUGUCCGGCAGUAGCACACUGCUACUAUCCUGUCCAGCAGCACACUACUGCUGUGUGUUGUCCAACAGCACACAGCAAUGUACUGUGUGCUGUCAAAUGGCACACAACAGGGCUAGGCAGCACACAGCAUUUGUGUGCUGUCGAACGGCAAACAGCAGGGGUUGUGUGCUACCCGAAGCACACCUCACCCCUAUUUUCCCUUUUUCAUUUUUUUUAAUAAAAAAAUAAAAAAAUAUAUAUUUAUAAUAACAAAAUUUUAAUAUAAGAAAAACUCUUUUCUUUUUUAAAAAAUAAAUACAAGAAAAACUCCUUUUUCCAAAAAAAUAGUCAUAAAAAAAAAUUAAAGAGACCAAAUGUUACCUAAUUACCUUUUUCCUUUUGGCUUUGAACUUCUUUCUCCAUGGAUGCACCAAAUACAUCAAGAAAUAUUAAAAUUACAUGGGUUUUCCUAGUUACAUAAAUCUAAGGAAAAAUAAAAAAAUCAAGAAGGAAACAUAGCGAUGAUAGGCCACCUUUCUUGUUACAUAACCAAAGAAAAAUGUUACAUGUAAAAUUUUCUAGGACAAUUAAUGUGGCAAAAACCUUGAAUCAUGCAUCAUAACAUACAACCAUACAUUGAUCACAUCAAAAUAGUAAACAUAUGCAAAGGUGGCAACUAUGCAAAAUAAAUAUAGGAAACAAACUUGCAAUAAACCCUGCUCUAAUACCAAUUGUUGGAGUAAGAUCUUGUGGAUUAAUGUGAUUGUGUAAAGCAUGGAUUUUAAAAAUUUCUUUAACAAAGGAAGCAAGCAAUCCAAUUACACAAGCGGAAGCACACAGUAUUAUUAUUGCAAGUAAUAUAAUCACAUCCAAAAAAAAUAAAAUAAGAAUCUAUUAUGUAAGAAAACUAUACCUUUAUUUUGAGAUUCUUAUUUUCUGACAAUACCACACCAAUGAAUGAUUUCUCGACCAAAUAAGUUUACCAUUUAUUCUUCAAGAAAACUUUCAACUUUAACCUUGAGUGGACAAGGUGUGGAAUGCAAGGCUAUAAGAUGGCAACUAAGUUUAUUCUCUUUUCUUUGAAAAAGCUUGGAAGAGGAGAAGAGAAGAGAUGGCUGAAACUUUUUUAAGAAAAAGUACGUUCUCUGAUUUUCUUCUAGUGUCUUCUCAUUUUAUUAAAACUCUUGCUUCAAAGGUUUAAUCAAAAUGAAACACCUUUGAAUCAAUCUCGACCAUCCAUUCAGAGUUAUGGAAGUAUCAAACAUGCUCCAUAAUUAUCAAAAUAAAAAUUAAAGAAUAAAUAAUUUAAUUCUUUAAUUAUCAUUUAAAGUUCUUAAUAAAAUAAAACUCCUUAUUGAAUAUUAACUCUUAUUUUAUUGUUCUCCAUCUUUAUUUAAAAAUAAUUAACAAUAAAUAAAAGAGUAAUAGUCAAACAUGGAGUCUCCUUUUAUCAACAUGGAUGUCUAAAUUCAUUUUGCAAGAAUCCUCCUAAAUUUAUCUUAAUUUAAGACAACUCUUGUCUGUAAUUAAGAUAAAAAAAAAUCUUAUCUUGUCUAAAUUGAGACAAAUAUGUUAAAGCUGCCAUUUUUGUACACAAUUUAAUUAAACAAAUUAAAACAUGCAUUCCAACUUAAACAAGUUGAAUUCUAUGAACCUAAGUGGGAAAUCUAUUUGGACAUAGAUAUUCCAAGCUCUAAUAAACUUAGAAUUAUUCUUAAUCUCAUUAAAAAUAAUUGAAGCUUAUUAACCAUGAAAUCACUCCACCAUAGAUUCAUGGUUGCACUCUUGGAUUAACUAUAAUUACAAAAAACUAUUCAAUACUUGAUAUUAAUUGUUAGUUGUUCAAUUGCAAACCUUAUAUUGUGAACCCUCAUAACCAUCCAAUGACAAAAAGUGAAAUUACCGUUUUACCCUUUAUGUGAAUUUUGCCCCCUAGUCUCAAAUUUCAUCCAAUUAGUGAUUCAAUACUCUAGAUCUAAUCUUUAGAGUAUCCAGAUGUGAUGAGUAGCUAAUUCAUCAAUCCACUGAGCCCAGAUUAAUCACCAAUCUUCUUGAAAUCACUAGAAGUGAUGUUAAUGCUAUGAACUCCAUUACCUGGAUAUAUGUUCUCAGAUGUUUACCUCAAUUAUAAUCCCAAAAUAAGUAGUCUAGAUCAACGCUUUAUAAUGAUCAUGCUCAUAGUAAAUCAAAGAUCAUAAGGAGAUUAAACACGAGUCCAUUAUCCAUCAGGAUUUCGGCUUUACUAUAAGCAAAUGCAUAAGUGUGAGAUCAAGAUUUAGGUAACGGUAAAACUUAAAUUUGAUUUUCACAUGAUUCCAGUUCAUGUUAUAGUGUCAUUACUCGAAGUCAACCAUUUCGAUGAUUGAGACUCAUCAUUCCCUUGAAAUGAAUCACAUUCGUUUCGUCGAAAGUAAUCUAAACACUACAGCCUUAACAUAAUAAAGUGACCAGCUUUAUUAUAUGGCUGUGAACAAUUUUUUUAGGGAACCUUUCCAUAAAAAAAUCCUCAACCAAUUGGUGCAACUAAUUGCACAAACUUAGGCCUUUAUUGGUUGCCAAGCCAAAUAAAACCAUGACUGUCACUGUAGAAAGCAGCAGCUGUUUUAGCCACGUUUUGGUAGCUUUACCUCCAUCAUUAGCCACACAUAAUCACCCAUCUUGGAACAUUUCCAAUGUGUAUUGAUCCCUUAAUUUUCUUGCAUUUUAUGAAGUACUUAAGCCUCACUUUUAUGGCUGAAAAUGGACUAAUACCAUGGCUAGACAGAAUCGAAUUCUACCAUUUAAAUCACACCAUAAUGUCAUGUGAUCGAAUCUUUAUUUGCUAAAUUAAUUUGUGCAUCUCAUGCACAUGUUAAUUUUUAAUAUUUUGACAUUAAAAUGAGAUUAAUAUUAUGACAAAUAAAUUUUAAAAUUUACAAUUAAAAUCUAUCUAGAAAUUGAAAUAACUAGAACAAAUUGUAAAAUUUUAAAACUUACUAAUUUGUAUAGAACAAAACCCGAACAUCUCAUAUUCCUUUUCAACAAGGCAUUAACAACAAUAAACAUUAAAAUGUGUUAAAAUCGAAUCAAGGAAGGCUCUGAUACCACUGAUGGGUUUAGCUAUGGAUGGCAUGCUCAAAAUACGCAACGGAAAGAAAAUUAAAACUUUAUAACUAAUCAACAAAAACAUGCCUCCACCCAUGGCUCACCUUGGUGAUAUUUAACACAUAAAAACAUAAAAUAAAUUAUUGUUUAGAAAGUUACCAUGCCAAGUAAUUUCGUAAUCACAAUGGCACUUUCCGAAGCAAUCUCAAGAACAUCACAAGGAGUAAAAACCCUAGCCAAUCAAGUGCUUGGCCUCUAAUGGUAGUACACACGAUUGCACUUGAACCUUAAACAAAAGAGAAAGUUUUUAACUAUACUUUGUGCUGGCAAAGAAGACAACAAUUGUCCUUUUAUUCUUUUUCACAAUCUUAGCAGAACCUCUCUUGAAAAUUACUUAAUAAGCAAUUUUCUCUUUUACACAAAGGGAAUGGCGGCAAUGAAAGAAAACGUUUUUCCUUUUUUAACAAAAACUAUGUUUUUUUCAAUUGUGAAAAACUCUCAUAUGGAAAAUAGUUAAAAUGUGACUUAUAUAGUUAGGUUAAAAUAACUUCAAUUUUGCAAUUAAGUCCUCAAUAUUAUAACACAUUAUAAUAUUGGGCCCAUUACUUAAUUAAACUCUUUUAAUUAAGUCUUUGGAAAUUAAAAUCAAAAUUAAUUUCUUUUAUAUUUUACAAUCAAGGCCUUAUAAUUAUAACUAUUUAUAAUUAUGCCAAAAACUUAAUUAAACUCUUUUAAUUAAGUUUAUAGAAGUUAAUUACCUAGCUUGUGAUUUAAGUCUAACUUAAAUCGUCACUCUCCCAAUUUAAUUCAAAUGCAAUCAUUGUGUGUGACCCAUUAGGUUCCCAACAUGUUGGCAAUGGAAUUGAUUAAUGACUUAAUUGAUUAAUAUAAAUUUCAAUCAAUUAAUUUAUAAUCAAUUCCAUAGAUCAAGAUUGGCAUCUAGCAAUGCAUCAUGGCCACCCAAUUGUUGGGAGAGUCAAAGGGUUCUUUGACAACCUUUCAGUGUACAGUCUAUCAAUGUAAUUCAUUCCUUCAUCAUAUAUCUCGGAGAUGAUAAAAGCUUGGUACAGUGUCUACUCUUAUUGACCUUCAUAUUUGUUCCUACAAUUAUAGCAUUAACUUUAUAGAGAGUUAUGAAACCUUUUUCAUAAUCUCCAUGUCACCUUGGCUAAGGACUUCAAUAAGCUAAUGUUAACUAAGAACUGAUAGGAUAUGUCCUCUAAAACACUUGUGUUGAUGAUUCCUAUGUUGACCACUCAUUUGCCUUCAUAUGCUUCAUACUAUACCCAAAAAGCAUCCUAUUUUGGCAUCAUUGGUUAGGCAUCCAUAGAGAUGAGAUCAAAGCAUAGCACUCCACACAUAAGACAACUUGGUGUCUCAAGUCUAGGGAGUAUUUACACAACUAACACAUGAGAAGUGUUGUAUAGACACUAGAGUGUAUUACCAAAUGCAUUUCUCGUGGCGGGUCAUGUUCAGUGAACUUGCUCUCCUAGGCAAGCACCUAUAUUCUAGUUCCAAAUAUCUUUAUACUUCAAUCUAUGAGAUCGAUUGCUUUUUUCCAAAGUAAGGAACAUAUAAUAUACCAGUCUCUAAGCAUCAUUGAUGUCCAGUCUCAAUGAUACAUUGACCAGGAACAUUUUGAGAUUAUGCUUUGAUGCAUAGGAAUCUCAUAACUGCAACCCAUUACAGUUUCUUUGCAAGGCAUAUUAAUCUCAUGGACUUCAUUCAAUUAGAAUUAUAACUCAUUGUAAUUAAUGUCUUAUUGAUGAAAGAAAACCUCUAAUCAUUCAAUAUGAAUGAUACUGUUGCAUGAUUAGAAUCAAGCCUCAACCAAUCCCAUUGGGUUACAGGGCUCAUCUCAACACGAACCACUAUAAAUUCUUGUGCAUUGUCUGCUCUAUUUUAGUUUUCAUUUUAUUUUUCAUUAAGUUUUUCCUUCAUCUUGCAUUUAACUUCUCAUCAUUCAUCCUUAACUUGCCCUCAAUUAGAAGUCAAUUUUAGUAAGAGCCAAAAGGUGUUAUUCACCUCCCCUCUAGCACAUUUAUUUGGGACCAACAAUUGAAUGAUUUCAAAGAUAGAAAAUCUUAUACUUAUACUGGUUUGGAUAUAUUUAUUGAUAAAUGAUUACGUUGCACUAAAAUUCCUUGUUUUCCAAAAAGGCACAAAUGCUUCAUUUUAUUUUAAUUGGUUUAUGCAUACUCUUAUGUUUUAACAUUCAAAUCUUCUGCUCUUAACUUGUUUCGCUCUACGCCCUACUCACGGAGCCUAGGAUUACUGAGUCUGUGAGACUCACCUCCUUAUCUUCCUUUUGCAGAUAAGUAAUCAGCGCAAGUGCAUUGCUUAGCACAUCGAGG
This 8478-nucleotide long non-coding RNA is filed under the name Theobroma cacao (cacao). RNAcentral describes it as "long non-coding RNA (TCAC_LNC002385)". The record is from RNAcentral. Lineage: Eukaryota; Viridiplantae; Streptophyta; Magnoliopsida; Malvales; Malvaceae.